This 3732-nucleotide long non-coding RNA is filed under the name Nicotiana tabacum (common tobacco). Its description in RNAcentral is "long non-coding RNA (NTAB_LNC016892)". The record is from RNAcentral. Lineage: Eukaryota; Viridiplantae; Streptophyta; Magnoliopsida; Solanales; Solanaceae.
UUGUCCCAUAUUAUUCAGUUUCUCUCUCUCCCCUCUCUACACAAUCUCCCCCUCAGCGGCGGCAACCCCUUAAGUUAGCUGCUAUUUCCAACGGUAAGUUCUCCCUCUCUCUGUUUAUUUCUUCGGCUAAGACAACCUAGAGUUUCGUUUUCUAGAUAUAAAAAUUUCUUUGGCGGCUUGGGAUUAAUGUAUAGUUCAGUGAUUGGGAUGAUGGUUUGUGAUAAAAUUUACUGAUGUUUCGGAUUUUUAUUCUCUUUAAAUAUAAAGGAGGAAGGCAAAAUCUUAUUGCAGCUCAGGGAGAAGACUUCGUAUUGGUUGGUUGAAUUGGUUGUGCUCUUAAGCCAGAGAAUUAUGCUCUUAAUAUAGAUUGGUUGGUUGAAUUGGUUGUUUAUUGAUCGGUCAUUUGGCAAGUGGUGUGCCAAUAAAACGGAAAAAAUCAACCCAGUUUUUUCAACUACUGUGGUCCGAAAAUGUGCCGAGAAAUAAUGAUUUCUCCGACAACAGUAGUCGAAACAGUUAAUGAAAAUUUCAAUAAAUUCAACAUUCCGACUACUGUGGUCGGAAAAUAAAUAAAAAUAAUUAAUAAAUAAUUAUUAUUUAUUAUACAAUAUUUUCGACUACAGUAGUCGAAAAUAUUUUUUCUAAAAUAUUUAGUUGUUUUAUUGAAUUUCUGACUACUUUUGUCAGAAAAUAGCUCACUUUUCAAAUUUUUGGCAGAAUAAACUUUCCGACUACAGUAGUUUCCGAAUAUUGUAAAUUGGUAGGAAAGUAAUUGAAAUAGGCGCUUUUUCGACUACUGUUCGACUAUUUUGGUAGUCGAAAAAUAGCGAAUUUCUAGUAGUGAUUAAAAGUUCUGUUUCGAAUGAAUUGAUGCAUUGUGUAUGCUUCAAAUGCGAAGAAGGUUUGGAGAGAUUUUAAGGAGAGGUUUGAUACAUCGAACUUGACGAGAUUUUAUCAUCUCUGGAAAGAAAUUGCAACCUUGCAACAAGGUACAGACUCUGCAACUAGCUAUUAGUCGAAGAUGAAGGGUUUAUGGGAUGAACAAGAUGUGCUGGCUCCCCUACUUUCCUGUAGUUACGAAGAGUCUAGACCAUAUGUUAAACAUCUAAAAUCACGUCUCUUGCAAUAUUUUAUGGGGUUAAAUGAAGCUACAACAAUGUGAGAAGUAACCUCUUGGCUCAGAGACCAGUAGAUAAAGGUGUUAAUCGAGUCGAGUCGGAUCGACCCACUAACAACCUCGUUCGACCCGGUUCAGCCCGGUCCGGUAAGAGGUGGGAUGGGUUGUCUAGGGUAGGGGGUUGUAUCGGACGGGGUCGAGCCUUUUUUGACUACCGGUGCAUCGGAACCCGGCUAGCCUGGUAACCAGUUUAAGGGUUUUAACCAUGUUCCAGCCCGAUAUAAGUUAUAAGUUUUUUUAAAAUUUUGAGCAUUGCCAACAGCCAAAAUAAAAAAUGACCAUUGAGCAACGACUAUUUUUUUUACUUUUAGCCGUUUCGGCCUAUCCCCUUAAUAAAAUUGCCUCUCAACCCCUAAUAAUUGAUAAGUUAUAUUUUUAUCCUUUUAAGAACUAUAAGUAGCUCCCCUCUUCUUUAUUUUUUCUCACAACUUUCUCUCUUCUUCUACUCUAAUUCUCUCUCAAUUCCCUCAUGAUCAUUGAAUUGCUUGCAAGUUCUUAAAUUAUUAAUAUUUCAAGUUGUAACGAUCCGACUGGUCGUUUUGAGUAUUAUAGCUUCAUUCCCCCCAUUUAUUGCUUAUUCUAUGUUCAUUUGUUGUUAUAUGUCUUGGGUUGAGAUUCAUAUUUUUCUUAUUGUUUGAUAUGAUAUGAGGCCUCGACUAAGUUCAUACGAUGUUUAUGAUGGGUUGGUAUGUUUGGAUGGGGUCCCGGAGGCCUCGAGGAUGAUUCAGAUGGAAAUCGGAAUGAGUUUGGACUUGAGGAAUUUCUGAAGUGCACCAAGUUUGGUGCGAUCGCACCUGCGAAGGAUCGCACCUCGGAUUGAGGCAAUUUUUGAAGGAGUUUUCACUAGAUUUCACAAAGUAUGCAACUUUUGGUCGUUUUGAUCUAUUAAUAUUGAAUAUAUUGAAUUUCCCCCCAUAGAUUUGGUAUUUUUGAGGUGAAAAUUUAGGAUUUUUUUACCCAUGUAUUGGAGAGUAAUAAUUGGAGAUUUGAGUGACGAUUUGAUGUCAGAAUUGAGUAAUUUUGAUAUGACUGGACUCGUUAUUGAAUGGGUGUUCAUAUUUUGUAACUUUUGUUGGAUUCCGAGACAUGGGCUAAGGGUUGACUUUUUAGUUGACUUUUUAACUUUUGUUAAAGAACUUAGCUUUAUCAUAUGAAAUUGAUUUCUAUAGCUUUUGUUGAUUGUAUCGAGUUGUUUGUGGCUAGAUUUGAGUCGUUCGGAUGUCGAUUUGCGAGGCAAGGGCAUGUUGGAAUAGAGAUUUAUACGAGUUGAGGUAAGUUACACUUCCAAACUUGGUUCUGAGGGUAUGAAUCCCUGAAAUAUGUGUUAUGUGGUCGGUAUUGAGGUGACGCACAUACUAGGUGACGGGCGUGUGUGCGUGCACUGUAGUUAUUGUAACUCGGUUGAUUUCGUAGAACUUUUUAGUCAUCUAAUCUUGUUAUUAUUCAUGUAAUUUCCAUGUGUUAGAGAAAUCAAGCUGUGAUUCAUGUUAGAAAUCAUAUUUAGACUAUAUGUUGGUACUGUUGGACCUACAGAGGUCACUUUGUUGUUGAAUUAUUUACUAAUUUGCAAUCAUGCACUCAGUCACAUCUAUCCUAUAUAUCAUAUCUCAAUCUCUAUUGUCAUUAUUGUUGCACCAUAUUAUCAUUGUUUGGGCUGAUUGUUAUGAGAUUUUGUGAGCCCAAGAGACUAGAGAGAUUGAUGACUGAGUGAGACCGAGGGCCUGAUUGUGAGUGAUAUUUAUAGGAUCGGGCUGCAUGCCGCAACAUGCUUUUUUGAUUCAAACCAUGAUUGGCUUAUAUAUUAGCUCUUGGGUAGGAUCCGCCCUUCCGGAGUCUGACAAACCAGCAGUAAGCGCAAGUACCUACUAAGUGCGAGUACCAAGCGAUUGAGAGUACUGAGUGACUAAGAGUUCUGAGUGAGUGGGAGGACUGAGUGACUGGGAAGACUGAGUGAUUGAGCAUGCUGAGUGAGAUUAAAUACUCCGAGAGUAUGCAUAUGAUUUUAUCACUGUGUUGCAUUACAAUUGGCAUGCAUAAUUAACAUGCAGAUAUAUUGAUGUAUCAUUCCUCAUAUCAAUCACACUUGGCAAUAUUUUAUCCGUGUUGAACUUAUAUUGUUAAACUUGAAAGCUUGUCUAUAUUUUUGUACAUUUAAAAUCUGUAUUUGGACUGUACCUGUUUGAGCUCGUCACUGCUUUCAGUCUAAGGUUAGUCUUGUUACUUAUUGAGUACAUUGUGUUGGUUGUACAUAUACUAUACUCUUCACUUCGUGUGCAGAUUCAAGUACUUCUGGGCACAGUGGUUGAUAGCUUUGGAGUUUUAUCUAUUUGGAGACUAUUGAGGUAGCUGCCUUGGCAUCCGCAGACCUUAACUCUCCUUCUUUUCAAUUCAUUUGUACUAUUCUAUAUUUCUAGACAGUUGUUUUAACAGUUAGAUUGUAUUGUGAGAUAAAUGCUCAUGUACUUAGUGACAACGAAUUUUGGGAGAUUUUGUAUUGAGUCGCGAUAUUUUCUUACAAGUUAUUUAUGAGAUUUUCACUAUUUAAGCUUAUUUCA